Molecule: ribosomal RNA, 253 nt
Filed under: uncultured bacterium
Lineage: Bacteria
Description: partial 16S ribosomal RNA
Rfam family: Bacterial small subunit ribosomal RNA
Source: RNAcentral
UACAGAGGUCCCAAGCGUUGUUCGGAUUCACUGGGCGUAAAGGGUGCGUAGGCGGUCGGGUAAGUCUGACGUGAAAUCUCCGAGCCUAACUCGGAAACUGCGUCGGAUACUAUUCGGCUAGAGGAAUGGAGGGGAGACUGGAAUUUACGGUGUAGCGGUGAAAUGCGUAGAUAUCGUAAGGAAGACCAGUGGCGAAGGCGGGUCUCUGGACAGUUCCUGACGCUGAGGCACGAAGGUCAGGGGAGCAAACGGG